UUGUCAAUGAAUUUUAUACUACUUGUUUAUGCAUGCCAUGUGUCUGAUAACUUUCUUUGUCCAUGGUCAGGGUAAGAAAAGGGCAACAAUUCCUAGUCUGAAUCAAAUCCGAGUCUUUCGAAGGCUUAAUCUUAGUUCUUCGCAAGAUCUACCUUUCUCUUUCUCUUUUAGAUCUCAUUGAUUCACAAAUGAACCCGACGAUUCCACCCAAGCUUCCUUUAGUUCUUAAUUCUAUAUUUCAGAUCUCUCUCAUUUGAUUCAAAAUUUCAGGAGUCUGGACUUGAAGUUGAGAAGGAGGAAUAAUGUCAAGGGAUUUGAAGGCCAACCCAGAUUGUGUAAUCUGGGAAAGAAUAAAAUCGAGAUUGCCUUGGAAGUCACAAAAAAUGAUUGUGUUGAGGUUUGAGAAGUGGAGGAGAAGACAAGGGAGAGAUUCCAAGGUUGGGUCAAUGAUUGUGAGUGUCACGAAAAAGAUUGGUGAUGGAAAGAAAUCUAUUGCAGACUAAAGAGAGAAGUUCGAAAUAGCUGUUGUGUUGUAAGAAAUUGCAAAUUAAUUCCCAGCAUUCUUUAGGUAAUUCCAACUUCAAUUUUCUUUAGUAAGAAAGAAAUGAAUUAGCAAGUUGCAGACUAAAGAGAAAAGGACUUUUGCUUCCUUCUUUUAAUCUUGGGAAGUAGCUGGAUAACGGGCAAGAUCAUCGAGAAAGUAAAUGGCUAUUUGAAAAUACGGUUAUGAUAUUGGCAUAGUGGAAAUAUCAGAGAAAUUUGUGGAAUAAUGAGGAAAUUCUCAAAACAAUACGCACGUUGGUCAGGAACAUAUUUCUAUAUGGAUAAGGGAGUGACUUCUGUUGUAAUCAAGAGGAAACACUUGAUGAAUUGACUGAUAUCAAAAUCUUGUUUAACAUCUGUUGAGAAAAAUUCAAGUGGAGGGACCAAAUGGAGUGAUGAAGCAGCUGCACGCAUUACGACAUCUUUUGGAAUUCACAGACGGAAAUUUUACAUAUCUAUCAAAUAUAGGUGCUAAAAGCCUUCAUUUUGCAUUUCCAUUGCUGGUGGUUCUAUUUCGUCAAGAGUUAUCAUUUAGUGAGGCUCUUCGUAUGUGAAAGGUUCGUGCUUUUAGUCCAUGCUGCGACAUAAAAAGGUAAUUUUGUUGUACGUAUAUAAGUAACAUAUACGUACCAAAGAGACUUACACUAUAGGUAAGCCUAUCGCAGGAUAAGUUGCAGAAUAGUAAACUUUGUACCAAAGAAACUUACACUAAUUUUACCUUCUUCAAUUUACACUAAUUUUACCUCUUCAAUUUACACUGUGCUAAAGCCUAUUGUACCUAGGAUAUCAGCAAACACUUGCAGAAUAGUUGAAUGUCUGACGUCAGUAACUAAUAAAUUUCUUUUUAUAAUGUCAUGAUUGCCUGAUUUAUUAGGGGAUGCAAUUUAGUUAUUAUUAUUAUAUUUUUUUUUACAUAUCUUUUGAUAUUAGGCGGAAGUUUUUGAAACGAAAGUUUUCUUAAAAAAGGUUAAAUGUUUAAAGUAGGGGUGUAAUUGAUUGAGUUUGAGCGG
Molecule: non-coding RNA, 1553 nt
Organism: Durio zibethinus
Lineage: Eukaryota; Viridiplantae; Streptophyta; Magnoliopsida; Malvales; Malvaceae
Source: RefSeq, a predicted model, not a curated record